UACGGAAGGAGCAGUGGGGAAUAUUGCACAAUGGGCGAAAGCCUGAUGCAGCUAUGCCGCGUGUAUGAAGAAGGCCUUAGGGUUGUAAAGUACUUUCAUCGGGGAGGAAAAAACAAAACUAAUAAUUUUAUUUCUUGACGUUACCCGAAAAAGAAGCACCGGCUAACUCCGUGCCAGCAGCCGCGGUAAUACGGAGGGUGCUAGCGUUAAUCAGAAUUACUGGGCGUAAAGAGCACGUAGGUGGUUUUUUUAAAGUCAGAUGUGAAAUCCCUGGGCUUAACCUAGGAACUGCAUUUUGAAACUGAAAUACUAGAGUAUCGUAGAGGGAGGUAGAAUUCUAGGUGUAGCGGUGAAAUGCGUAGAUAUCUGGAGGAAUACCUGUGGCGAAAGCGGCCUCCUAAACGAAUACUGACACUGAGGGUGCGAAAGCGUGGGGAGCAAACAGGGAUUUAGAUACCCGU
Molecule: ribosomal RNA, 461 nt
Filed under: uncultured bacterium
Lineage: Bacteria
Description: bacterial SSU rRNA
Rfam family: Bacterial small subunit ribosomal RNA
Source: RNAcentral